RNAcentral lists this ribosomal RNA (451 nucleotides) under uncultured bacterium. Its description in RNAcentral is "bacterial SSU rRNA". It matches the Rfam family "Bacterial small subunit ribosomal RNA", at positions 29 to 524 of the family's 1533-position model. The record is from RNAcentral.
AGCGAACGCUGGCGGCAGGCUUAACACAUGCAAGUCGAACGGGCGUAGCAAUACGUCAGUGGCAGACGGGUGAGUAACGCGUGGGAACGUACCUUUUGGUUCGGAACAACACAGGGAAACUUGUGCUAAUACCGGAUAAGCCCUUACGGGGAAAGAUUUAUCGCCGAAAGAUCGGCCCGCGUCUGAUUAGCUAGUUGGUGGGGUAAAGCCCACCAAGGCGACGAUCAGUAGCUGGUCUGAGAGGAUGAUCAGCCACAUUGGGACUGAGACACGGCCCAAACUCCUACGGGAGGCAGCAGUGGGGAAUAUUGGACAAUGGGCGCAAGCCUGAUCCAGCCAUGCCGCGUGAGUGAUGAAGGCCUUAGGGUUGUAAAGCUCUUUUACCCGAGAUGAUAAUGACAGUAUCGGGAGAAUAAGCUCCGGCUAACUCCGUGCCAGCAGCCGCGGUAAU